Molecule: long non-coding RNA, 10836 nt
Organism: Corvus hawaiiensis (hawaiian crow)
Lineage: Eukaryota; Metazoa; Chordata; Aves; Passeriformes; Corvidae
Exons: 2
Source: RefSeq, a predicted model, not a curated record
UGACUAUUUGUCCUAGAGUCUGGCAGUCUUUCCCUAGGCAGCUUGUGCAUGAAUUAUUACAAUGUUCCUAAUGCAAGGAUCAACAAAACACCCUGUCUUAUUAAAAACAAGAUUUUCAAAAUUAUUAUUUAUGUAUAGAGUUGCCUACUAAGAUGUUGGUUUUAGUUACAGUGUUUGCUAUAUUUCAUACGCUCCAAUUUCUGUUUCUGUAUCAGCCAGGGACCUCUCUUGGAACUUUUGUAAGAAGGAAAUUCAAAUAGCAAGCAAAACUAUGUAUUCCAAAUAAUUUUGGAGUUGUUGAGAGCUUACAGUUUUAAGGUUGAAUAUCCGUACACCAGAUUAGAGUUAAGUAUCACUCUGGAACCAAAAAUACCUUUUUUGUCCCCUACUGGGAAAAAAACCCCAAUUCUAUUAUUGGCCUAAGUUUCUGACUUAGAUUUACGUAAAAUUAAGUUGGAUGCAUGUUUUCACAUUUCUAAUUGUUUCUUCACCUUUAACUACUAUAAUUAGAGCUGUAUUACAGAUGAGGGAGAUAAAAAGGUUAAGUACCAACACAUUAAAAAUAAAAAAAAACCCUGUUCAAAACACGUCUCAAAUAUGUAGAGCACAGGUUACAUAAAAGUAAGUGGUAUAAAAGUUUUAAUUAUGUUAACAUUGGCCAGACUGUAUCAUUCACCUUGAACUGAACCAUUCAAAUCUUGCAUUCUGACUCUGACAGUGGGUGAGCAAGGGUCAAUGCACAUAUAACAUACAAAUACCCAGUCAAUCAGCUGUAUUCACCAAGUAAUUAUGUAAGGUGUUUCAUCAUCUCUGCCUCCUCAUAUCUCUGCUUAUGAGCUGAGUCUGGGAGUUGCCCUCACCAUCUGCACCACAGCUGCAGCCUGCUCUUGCAGUGCAGUGACCAAGUGCAACCUCCCCUGCAAAGGGGAAAUCUCCAGGGCAGUCUGGGGGUCUCUCUUUAAGAAUGUCCCCUGUUGCUGCCUGAAAAGACAAAGAGAGAGAGAUAAAACUAGAAUAAUAUAAGGCUGAUGAUCAUAAUCAAUGCUCAGUUCUCCUCGAAAUUCAAGUAGUUAGAUAAAGAAUUUGCUCUUUUUCUCCUAUAGAGAAUCAUACAGCUCCAAUGUGAUAAAAAGGUAUUAUUAUGGAAAAGCAGUUAAACAAAACAACGUAUUUUAUUGUCAUAAAAUCACAAUAUAACCCAUAAAAGAUUAAUAUUUUUAAGCAUAAGUGUCUGUGAAAUACAUAAAGUAGCUGAAAGAAAUGCUUUAUUGGGAUGUGAUAGCCAUUCAUUGAAUAGGUUAUCAGCUUAAUACAUCAAAGCAAGGCAAGUUUCCUGUGAACAAGAUUUGGGUUUACUGAUCCUAAAGCACCUACGACAUUAGGAAACAAAAUCUGAAGAAAAAAAGCACUCUACUUUUUUUGUAAAAUAUGUCCUACCAUUUUAUGUACAGAAAAAGACAUAGAUAUUAAAAAGUUACAGAAAACCAAAAAACCAACCCAAACAAACAACACAAGAGCAGAACAGACAAAUGCAUAUUUAAAAAAUAAAGGUAAUAAUAUUAGAUAAACAUAGAAGAUUACAUGGUCUACUGCAUGCUGGAGAGUCCUUUUCAGCAACUAACAAUGUUGUUAUGUUUAAUUCCCAGUUCUGCCUUUAAAUAUUUACAUCACUGUUUUUACUAACCCUUCUACUGUUAAAAGCUCUGCUGAUCUGAAUGGUGGUAAGGAUUCAAGAUUAGCAAGAUUUGGGUUGGUUGAGGAACAAAUUACUUGCAGCAUCUAGUUAGAAAUUGCUUCUCCAUUGCCUUUAUAGUCUCCUUUCUUAUUUUUUUCCCUAAUAAAUGGCUCACAAACAGUGGCUAUAUUAGACAACAGUGAUUAGGCCUAAACAAUUUUUUAAAAGGAAUCCAUUAAAAACCCUUUUUGUAGCCCUUAUCUUUAUUGUGGGCUGUUUAGAGACUCCAUCAUGAAGACCUGUGAAAGCUAUAAAGCCUGUAUUCUAGGAAAAUACAUACAAGCAUGAGAAUAAUUUGAACAUUGUGUAUAUAAGCAAUCAGUCCUUCUAAGACCAAGCCAUAAAUUUGCACAACUAAGAAUUUGCUAGGGUCUAUAAACUGGUAUAGUCCUGUAGUCUAAUACAAAUGUGCUUUUUCAAUUUUGUGUAGUUCAGACUGAAAAGAAUUGCUUAAAAAUCACAUAUUUGAACAAAAAGACAUUAAAUUAGAAUCUUUCACUGAAAAGCAUUAUUGCUAGAAAAGAAUGUAAUAAAUCCAAAACAAGUUUCAUCUGAAGAAAAAUUAAAAGAAAGAAAAAUAUUUACAGAGAAUUUUGGACCUGAUUUGCAAUAGGAAACACGUUUUUUACAGAAUGAAAAUUAGUUUCGUCUCAUAUGGAAAGUAUAUAGCUGUCCUUGUCCUUCAGCCUCUUCACUCCUUGCAUAGUGCAGCACUUUUUAGGGUUGUUCUAGCAUUUGGGAAUUCCAAAAUUCUCUAGCAUUCCCUCUUCAUGCCUCCCAAUUCCUCCAAUUUAGCAAACAGUUGUGGAAGAACAGAGCACACAUAACACGCUUUUACUACUGAAAACAAUUAAAUAAAGUAUUAACAUUUGCACUCCUUUAUCAGUAGUCACGUUUUUACUAUUGAAAACAAUUAAAUAAAGUAUUAACAUUUGCACUCCUUUAUCAGUAGUUCCAAAAUGAGAUAGUAAAUAAAGUUGCAACCUAAUUAAACCAUAUUCAUGUUACCGUAUCUAUUUUUUACCAAGUGUCCUAGACAGCUGUACCUUACAAAACAGAUAUCAGAGAUGUCUAAAGAGUAAAUUCUCAUUAGGGAGGUACUAUUCAGCAUGCAUCUUCUUGUACUCAUAUAAAAAAUGUUUAAAAUGCAAUUUUACAGCUCCUUUUGUAGCAAAGUACAAAUAAGUAAAGCAGAAUAAAAAUAUGUUUCCUGUUCAUUGUUAGCAUGAGAUAUUUCUCCAGUGACAAAAGCAAGGGAGUCCCACAUGGAAUGCUAUUAUUUCUGUCUUAUCAUCUCACAGUGAGAUACCACAAGUCCCAGCAUAUUAGGGUUUUUCUUAUCUUCCCACUCUAGUGGUCAUGUGCCUAUAUCAGAGUCCCAGAUUUCACUCUAAAACAGAAAUGCUCUUGCACUCAAUUUAGGGUGUGAAUUGAUUCAUGACUCUUCACAGCUUGUGUUGCUGGUACAGUUUCUAACCUACUUUAAUAUCAUUAUCUAAUAGCAAUAAGAGAUUUUGAUAGCAUAAGCAACAACUCAGAAGCGUAACUAGCUCACACAACAGAAAUUUACUGGAAAAAAACCUGUAUUUCAAGCACUUAACCAUGGCUGCUGUUUCAAAAACCUGUGACUGGCACCUUAUUUCAUCCCCAAACAUGUCAUUUUGACUCAUUCAUCAAAAGCACUUACUUCAGUCUCAGGCAGCUGCAAAACCGUUUGAGGUUAUCUUGCCAGAGAAGGAGCCUUCAUAUCCUGCUUGACUUAAAAAGCACCUUUGCUCUUUACAUACCGGAAGGUAAAUACACUAUAAAAAUGCCAAGGCCCACCACAGUUCAGAUAUUUGAGAGCCUCAUGAAGAAAAGGCACACAGAGAACCUGAGUAGAUGCUGCCCAUGAACUUUUCAAAGAAUGCAAGAACAUAAUUCUUGCGUCUCUGAGGUGAGCAAGUCAUCAGCUCACUCCUAAUUCAUUCUGCUCUUAACAAGCUUAUAGAGCAAACCACUACAGAGAAAUGUGUGCUUUAAAGAGAGACCAACAGCACCACCACACCCCAGCCAUGCUGUGAAUCUUCUCAGGAGACAAGAGCUAUGCAUGGCACUGUGUAGCAUUUAUUAUUAACAGUAAGCAGCAGCAGCAAUAUAAUUAAAAAUUCCUCUCAUUUCUUUCAGUUUGCAAAGCAAAGGAUGAGCAGAUUUGAACAAUGUUCCUAAGGAUAAAGCAAAUACCCAGUCAGACUCCAGAGAUGGGACCUUCUUAGCGAAUGUUAUGUUCGUGUUGAGAUCUCCCUGUUCAUGAAGAUAGGGGGUCCUACCAGAAAUGAUAACAGAUGCUUACGUUUACCAGCAUUAGCAGAUGCCACUUUAUUAAAGACAGCAUUGGAAUGAACUCCACGAGUUUGAAUUUCAUAAAGUUUGUUAAGGAAAUAUUUUUGAAAACAGAGAGAGAAACUGUGUUCUAAUGAUGUUCACAUGUUUCCCCAAAGAAUGAAAGCUGAUAUGUGCAGGCGUCGAAAGCAUUACAUUCUAAUUUCAUUACAGCGGGGGAAGGUACCUAGAAAAAGCACAAAAGUAAAUGCUGUUGACCUCCCUGACAAGAGGCUGAAAAGGAACCUGCUCUGGGAAGCCAAGACUUUUUGCCUCUGUAACAACUGGGUAGGUGAUGGCUGUCUUGGAAAAUUUAUGGUAUCAUAUUAUUUAUAGCAGAUGUCCUCUAAAAGCAAACAGUUUUGCUUUAUGCUCCACAAAUCUUAUGGAUAAUUGAACAAUGUAAUGUGGAGGCUCAGUAUUGCUGCAAAUAUCAACAUAAUUUUCUAAAAUCGAUUAUGAGUGAAAAGAGAAAAAAAAUGUCCUGAUACUGAUCCAAGGCUCGAAGAUAAAAGGUUAAUCAAAACAAGACCUUUGUCUGUGCUUUCUAGAAACUUGUUGUUUUAAGUGGAAAAGGUAAAAGUUGAAACUUUGUAUGGAGCCCACUAAUUAAAUUAUCAUUUACCCCAAAUGAGUCUUGCAGUUCCAAUAAAGAUGAUCAGAUGACAAAAUAAGCCUUAAGUAGCACAAGCAGUUAUGGUCAUAGACCUAUAACCCAAGAGUUUAUUUUGGAUAUGUAACUUUUUGUUCAGGCGUAGUCCUACUUGCAUCUCUUACUAUAACUAAGUGAAACAAGUUCAAAUGAUCAAUUCCAUUUUCUUAGUGGAACCCAUAUGAUAAACUUCUUGUUCACUUCAGCUAUGGUGCUUUUUUCUUGAGAAGGCAUUGAUGAGCUGCAUCUUGCAGAAACAGCAUCAUCUCAAACCAUUUAAAAGAUUCAAGAGCAAUUAAAUCCGACAUAAUCCCAUGGAAAAGUUUUAUCAAUAGAGAGGAUGGAUUAAACAGGAAGCAUCACCUUUCAAUAUCAAAACUUUAAUUUCUGAUGUUAAACUCCUUCCAGUUUCAAAAGAUAAAACUUGAAGCCCUUGGAUGUGAACAAAACUGCUGUUGAUGGAGUGUUUGUUUCCUUCAUUUUUCCUCUAAUUAGCAAAGUUGAAGGUGGAAAUAAAUGAAUUUUUUGAAAGUAAAAUAGAAAUGGACAGAAAAAAUACAUCUGUGAAUUUGCUGUUCAUUAUGCAUGGUUUGUAAGAAUGCAUAUUUCAAAAAGAAAGUAUUAAAGUAAUUCUGCUGUUCUGUUUUGCAGGUCUUCCUGACAGUUUAAGCAAAAAAAGGGUUUAAUCUCUCUGGAUUGCAAAAACAGAAACCCCUGACAAGGACAAGAGAUUGGCAGAAUUCGAGAGGACAUACAAGAGUGGAAAUAUUUCACCUCACUUCCAAUCUUGGUUGAAUACAUCAGAAGUAAACAAGAAAUCAGUUUAUUAGGAUGGACUAUGUAACAUCCAUCAAGGAAAAUCUUUUAUAACCUACAUUGAACACAGACCAGGAUCCUCUCCUUCUGUUUCCUGACUUCGAUUCACAUGUCUAAAAGGGUCUUACAUUAAUGCUUAUUUCCCCAGUACUUUUUACACAUUCCACUGUAUAAACUGUAUUUUGAACAUCACUUGUCUCGCCCAUACAUGCUGUAGGAAGGUAGUGCUUUCCCCAUUGUUAUAGUCACACUACUGUAAUCCUGGAUAUUUUUCAGCAAGAAGGUUUCAUCAGUUUGCAAAGUGAAGGCAUGCAUGGAAACUAGCACUUAACAGACAUUAUUCCCCAAUAAUUUUUUUUUCUGCAACAAGACUACCGUUCUUGCUUAUAUCAACCAGGUCUGAUUCCACCCUUGUUGCAAAAGAGUGGUUUCCACCAGAUAAGGUGCCAGUUUCCUUUGGUAGUUAUAUGGGCAAAGCUAACACAAACAUUUUACAACCAGAUCUAGCACUGUAACUUUGUCCUUAAGAGAGGUGAAGCUGUCAUCGUGCAGCUGGAGCAGAGUUCUUGCUGCGGGCUGAGACCUAAAUACUGCAAGUUUGUUGUUCUUACCAUGUAGAGCUGGAGACUUGACUGGCUUAUGAUGUCAAACACACUUCAGGAUGAGUCUGUCCUAAUGAGCAUAAUAUAGUAUGGUCAUCCAUUCCACAGCAUAGUUGGGAUCUGUGUCAGAGCUUGUGACCAUACUAAUGCAUUGUCCAUAUGGUUAUAUAAAUACAAAAGCUUACUGCUUUUUAUUCUGUUUUUAAAGGAAACAGGGUCAUAUUAAGUGAUUGCUGCUGCUUCAUCUGUCACGGUGGACUCACAAAAUAUAUUUGAAUCUCAUAUUUACUGGUAGAAAGAGCAAUAUCUGCGUUAGUAGGUUACCUUUAACUUCAAUGUCUUUUCUUUGGGAAAAGGAACUAGAAAAGGGGGGAAACUUAACCAAAUAAUAAAUUAAAUUAAAUUGCUAAUAGUGAUUAUGGCAUUUUUAAUUUCCACCCUAGGGACCAGAGUGAGACAAAGGGAUACAGAAAGUAUAUCUGAAAGUGAAAUCCAGUGCCAGGACUCUUCAGAUCAGUCCAAAUUGGUUUGUGCGCAUUGAAAAAAUCCUCGCAAGGGGAAAGGAGUAUUUCACUCAGAUGCUGUCCGAUCUCUGGAUCUUUGAUCCUCAAGCACUUCUCUGUCCUUGUACAGCCCCUAGCACCUUGGAUAUCCAGGAGCACUCUAGGGUUGUGGAAUAAUUAAUUGCACAUGCAGGGAGGAAUAAACUCCGAAGAGUUUAUACAAUUGUCUUCAGAACCUUGCAGAAGCAGUCCUUAUUGACAGUAAUGAAACCACACAAAGUUUUGUUAAUUAAUAAUGCUCAGUGAUGAAAGGGUGUGGGGAAGAGAAUCAAACAAAAACCAAUGAAGAGAUGGCACUGGAAGUUACAGAAUUACUGAAUUUAGAAAGGGAUGAGGUGCGGGAUUUGGCUGAUUAAGUUGAUACUCUUGAGCUUGAAGGUUCCUGAUGUCUUUUUCCACACAGAAGGGAGGUGUUUUGAAAAGGAAUUCUCAGUCUGUGGUGUAUCAAAAAUACAUGUUGCUCAGCACUGAGGUGUUGUCCAGUGUGCUCUGCUCACCUCUGCUAGCAUGGGACAGGGCUGUGCAGAGCUAGGAGAGAACCCUUCAGGGCACUCAGAAUGCGAGCAGAAAAAGUGAAAGCAAGCACUCCAGUGUCUUUAACUGCUAUGCUCUUCUUAUUUAACCCUUCCUUCAGUGCAGCAAGAAUUUGUCACAGGAACUGGGUACUGGAUAUUCAAGUGGAAGACCCAGGAUAUGGCCCACCACUGAGCUGCCAUCUGCACCUCUCCACUCACUGCAAGGCUGCUGAGUGCCGGCACUGCUAUGAGCUAAGGAACAGGUCAUGAUAACAGAUGCUUUGGGCCCCACAAGUGGGUAGUCAGUUCUUCCCAGUGCCCUCUCACAAUUAAUGUUGGCUUGUAAAGUCUUAAGUCAACUUCUGUUCUGGUGAAUCCCACGUAAGUAUGUAUAUAGUUUGACGUUCCGAUUUAGACACAGCAGAAUGUACACUCAGUGACUCAUUUCCUUGUCUGAACGAGUGUGAAUUAAAAUCAAGAACUCUCAAAUUAUUUCAGUGUUUCAAGUCAUUUCAUCGACAAGUUUUCAACUCCUCUCAGAUCAAUUACUUAGCCAGAGAACUGAAAAACAAAAUUUUUGUAAAAUAAAGUAUUUUACCAGUGAUAGCAAUGUUUCUUCUUCUCUGAAAUGUCUCUUUUGAGAGUGGAAAGAAUUUGAGGGGCUUCUUGAUGGAAAGAGGAUUAUUUAGAUAAAAGGUCCCCAACCCUGCUUUCGAAUUUUCUCUGCAAUUCGCUUACUUAAUAAGAUUAUGGAAACAGAUACCAUUUUGUUGUUGUUGUUUUAAAUUUGUUUAAUUUAGUCAUGAUGCUAAAUCAUUUCCAGAAUUCUUCAUGCAGUAAAGUAAUUUGAGAUUUUCAGAGAAUAGUCAUUGAGGCCUUAUCUAAAUACCAAAUUCCCUACCUGUAGAGUGGAAAUCAUAAUGCCAAAUCUAUUUUUUGGAGAAAGUCUAAAGUUUGGGAAAUUCUAAAGAAAAGUGUUGUAUGAAAUGUAUACAUACAUAAUAUUUGUAUUACAUUUCCAAAUAAUUUAUUUAUUUAAAAAUACAUAAUAUAAUUAUAGACUUCCUGAUAUUAUUUAAAAUUAUAUUUAUUAACUCUAUUAUUCAUAUACAUUUUAAUAUCAAAAGCAAAAUCCUGAUGAAAAAUGCCCAAAGGGUUUCCAAUUAAUGUUAUUCACUUAUUGUCAGGUUCUACCACCACUGACAGCAACUUCAUAGAGAUGUUAAUGAAUUUUACAUGAUAUUCAUGAGAAUGAAUGUCUUUCUCAUCGAAUAAGAUGUACGAGGUUCUGGCCAGAAAAGUGUAACUGAGUUUGCAAAAAUGUUAAGAGGUAGUACAUUUCUGAGAGAACAAUUUGCAGUGUGCAUGGAAGAAAGCUGAUAGUACUUUAUUAUACUGUAAAUUACAUAAUUUUUCUCCAUAUACUGUAUUUCUAGAGAAAUAGGAGAGGGAAUUUGCCUUGGUUUAAUGCCUUUUUCAGGGGUACUGGACACAGAUGGGUACAUUUGUAUCAGUCUAAAGUGUUGUGUCAAGGAAGAUAAAAGUCGCUAUAAAUAAAAUUCCACGGCAUUUCAGUCUUCGCUCUUACAAAAUGCUGGAUGAAAAAAGUCACCAACAACUAAAAUAAAAACCAAUUUUAUUUCAUUUUUCUUUGGUAGAAACAAUUGCAGAAAAAUAUUGCUGAAUUUCUAUUUUUGGCAAAAAAAGUAGUUUUAUUUAUUAAUUAUAACAAAAGUUUUUGUUCCAUUUUCUACUUGAUUCUCUAUAAUCUGUUUCCUUUAAAUACAGUCUCUCUUUAUAGCCACAAGAAUAAAUACAGCCUGAUUCAGAUGUGUGACAUUCCAUUGAAGUCAACAGAGCUGCCUUUCUAUGACGGAUUUUUCUUUCCAUCUCUGUGUCAUAUGUAGUCAUGUCAGUGUGAUUCAAGACAAAUGAGCUCUCCACACAGGCCAGAUCCUGACAGGUACUGAGUGCCUGAAACUCAAACCAGCUUCAAAGGAAGCACUCAUUACCUCCUGGAAUAUCUGGCUCAAAAUACAGUAUUUCCUUGUAUUUCUCCAUAAUUACCCUAGGAAAUACUUCGAAUAGUACAAAUAUUGAGUUUAGCCAACUGCCAGAGCCAGCCUUAGUGGUCUUGGAUAGAUCUGUGACAAGUUGCAUUUGGUUCUUUUUUGACACCUUUUUCUCUCCUCUUCCUUCUCUACCAUGCACACACAACAACCAUUUUUCAUGUAACUGUGCCCUGUAAACCCAAAAUAUGUUUUAGGGGUCUUUUGGGGGUUAAGAUACAGACUUGCACUGUGCACAAAGGCUGAGUCCACAUAUGUGCCUCUGUCUCAGCGUUUUUGGGGCAGGUGAUAUCUCUAAUCCCCAGAAUGCUUUCUUUUUGCAAAAGUGGAACCUGGCUGCCUCUAGCUGUCAUCAGCUUGCAGUAGUCCCUGUUAUAAUAAAGGAAAAUGCCAGCAAUAAACCUAUGUCACCUGCUCCAGGAAUUGAAAUGUUCCUCUCCUUUCCCAGCCAUCCCACAGCAGUCAAUGUUCUGGGCUGCGAUUCGUCCAAGAUCAAUUUUUCAAAAACCUGCUAGGUACAUCCGGUAGUGCUUUAUAAAUUACUCUUGUUCUUGCAGAGGAAGUUUUGGAGCUCAACCCACUACAGCAGCAAAGACCUGCGUUCAGCUAUAGAUAAGGGAGAGAAACAGAGCUGGGUUAUUUCAACCUGAGCCAGGACUGGCAGAGGAGAGAGCUCUGCUGUGCAGUUCCCUAGCUUGAAACAGCACCUACAUGACAUGACUGAACCUGCCCUCAGCUUCUUUCAGCUGCUCAGUGCUGUUGCAAACAACAGCACCUUUGACAAUCCAGCCCAAAAUAAUCCAAAUUAUAUUUGCAGUGGUAAACAUUUCUAAGGCUUCUGGAUGUGAACAAAUGGACAUAAUCCUCCUUACCCCUUCCCAGUUUUUCCAAAGACACGACUUGUCUGCAUAAAUCAGAUCUGCUGAAUAAAGUGCCAGUACUGUAAUAAAACCAUGAAUAUUAAUAACAGGACAAAGCAUACGACAAGGUGUCACGAGAGAGUGACACAGUAAGGAAAAGGUGGAUAAGCUUUACACUCUUCAUGGAGUAAUUUCUUUGCAUUACAUAACCCAGUGGAAAAGGCUAAAGUGAUUGUUUAAAUUCAAUCUUCAAUAUUGCUUCUCUGCAAAAAUAAAUGUGAUGAAUUAAAAAGUAAGACUUGCAUGAAGAAUAGGUUUGCCUGAAUUCCUGAGCAAACAGAAAACUAGUCCAGAAAGAUUUCUUUAAAGACCGAUCAACUAAUUUGUUUGACCUUAUUAACUCUUCCUUAGCAAUUUUGUUGAUUUUUGCCCAUCAACCCUUUGCUUCAAAUCAGCUUCGACGCUUAUAAGGAAUACAGUUUGGUAGUAUGCAAAUCACUUUUAAUGAAAAAGAGCUUCCUAAAGGCAGCCAAAGAACUGAAAGAAAUUCAUCCAGGUGCUGCCCAAACUGUUUUCAUUCACUUCCGAAAGGCAGGAGUUGGGUUGCUAAAACAAGUAGUGAGAGGAAGUAAUAGAAAUACUUCAGGGAACAAGAGUCCCUGG